AUACGUAGGUGGCAAGCGUUGUCCGGAAUUAUUGGGCGUAAAGCGCAUGUAGGCGGUAAUUUAAGUCUGUCGUGAAACUGCGGGGCUCAGCCCCGUAUGGCGAUGGAAACUGGGUUACUUGAGUGCAGGAGAGGAAAGGGGAACUCCCAGUGUAGCGGGGAAAUGCGUAGAUAUUGGGAAGAACACCGGUGGCGAAGGCGCCUUUCUGGACUGUGUCUGACGCUGAGAUGCGAAAGCCAGGGUAGCGAACGGGAUUAGAUACCCCGGUAGUCCUGGCCGUAAACGAUGGGUACUAGGUGUGGGAGGUAUCGACCCCUUCCGUGCCGGAGUUAACGCAAUAAGUACCCCGCCUGGGGAGUACGGCCGCACGGCUUAAACUCAAAUGAAUUGACGGGG
Molecule: ribosomal RNA, 396 nt
Filed under: uncultured bacterium
Lineage: Bacteria
Description: partial 16S ribosomal RNA
Rfam family: Bacterial small subunit ribosomal RNA
Source: RNAcentral